Molecule: long non-coding RNA, 977 nt
Organism: Salmo salar (Atlantic salmon)
Lineage: Eukaryota; Metazoa; Chordata; Actinopteri; Salmoniformes; Salmonidae
Source: RefSeq, a predicted model, not a curated record
CGCAGAUACCUGCCCAGACAAGGGGGAGAGGGAGAGGAACCAUCAGCAAAUACGUCUAUAGGCGUUUUGAAAUCUGUCUGGCAGCUACAAUAGUGUACAAGAAACCUUGAAUACCACUAAACGUGUGUGACACUACAGGCUGGUUCUAUCUGCGCAGGGACGUGUGGGUCAAGCUCAUCUGGGUGGCUGCCAUCGGGGACUGGCUCAACCUGGUCCUGAAGUGGGUUCUAUUUGGAGAGAGACACUAUUGGUGGGUCCAUGAUACCCACUUCUAUGGGACAGACCCAGCCCCUGCUUAAAACAAUUCCACAUCACUUGUGAAACUGGACCAGGUCGGCAAUGCCAUAGAUAGACCAAUGUGUGCCAGAGUAUAGCAAUGCGUGUCACUCAACAUACCUCAAGAAUAUAGUAGUAUUGGGAAGUGGAAGUAUUAUUGUCUUAGUAUGUAAUAAAUUAAUGAUCAUAGGGCCAUAACAACCUUUGCACUUUAGUAUUGAUUCCCAUUCAGCAGGGUAAAUACAUGGAGAAUAAUCUUAUCUGGAAAGGGAAUUCAGUUGGAAGUGUACAGUGAAUUCCAGUGGAGGCUGGUGACUUGAAAAAUUGAGGAGGAUGGGAGACCCACGUAGAUAUCAAAGUGUGUUUCAAAAAUCGUCAAGAGUAAUUAUUUUAACCUAAAGCAUUUAAUAAAGACAUUUAUAGUACAAUAUUAUGGAGAAUGGGAAAGAGACGGCUACUUACACAGUGUUGGGAAGGGAUCACAGCAGUGAUUGAAUGAGGGUAUGAGGCAUGAGUUGAGGUGUUCGGAGGCUUGACUUCAGUGCAGGACAGGAUUUGUCUGGGAAGACAAAAAACAAUAACACAACACACUACACAGUUAGACAAAAGAAGAAUGAGUUAUGUGUAAUAAUGUGAUUGUGUAUGUGAUUGACUCUACAUACAGUAAUGAGAGAAAAUGUAUGGAGGUACUCACAGUGCUU